RNAcentral lists this ribosomal RNA (162 nucleotides) under Triticum aestivum (bread wheat). Its description in RNAcentral is "partial small subunit ribosomal RNA". The record is from RNAcentral. Lineage: Eukaryota; Viridiplantae; Streptophyta; Magnoliopsida; Poales; Poaceae.
AUGGUGCCUACAAAGAAGCAUCAUUCUUAUCCUUUUGUCUAUCGACUUUUAAAGCUAGUACUGACUCUUCCUGUUGCCACUGCAACUGUUGAGAGAUGCUUCUUGGCAAUGAAGCUUGUGAAGAAUGCUUUGCGUAACAAGAUGGGUGAUGAUUAUUUGAGC